GACGAACGCUGGCGGCGUGCUUAACACAUGCAAGUCGAGCGGUAAGGCCCUUUCGGGGGUACGACGAGCGGCGAACGGGUGAGUAACACGUGGGUGACCUGCCCUCAGCUCUGGGAUAAGCCUGGGAAACCGGGUCUAAUACUGGAUAUGACUCCAUGACGCAUGUUGGUGGGGUGGAAAGCCUUGUGCGGCUGAGGAUGGGCCCGCGGCCUAUCAGCUUGUUGGUGGGGUGANGGCCUACCAAGGCGACGACGGGUAGCCGGCCUGAGAGGCGACCGGCCACACUGGGACUGAGACACGGCCCAGACUCCUACGGGAGGCAGCAGUGGGGAAUCUUGCGCAAUGGGCGAAAGCCUGACGCAGCGACGCCGCGUGAGGGAUGACGGCCUC
This 390-nucleotide ribosomal RNA is filed under the name uncultured bacterium. RNAcentral describes it as "bacterial SSU rRNA". It matches the Rfam family "Bacterial small subunit ribosomal RNA", at positions 28 to 418 of the family's 1533-position model. The record is from RNAcentral.